UAAUGCCAGGGUCAAAAGGUCAUUCAAUGCAUGCUCGCAUGCAAUUGAAUGACUUUGGGACCCGUAAAACAUGAGAAAGUAGCCCGAUUAGGGCGGAUUUCGAAUGUUUUUAGGAUUUUGGGAGCACGAAGUGCGGAGAAAUCCGUAGGCAUCA
This 154-nucleotide small RNA is filed under the name Faecalicatena orotica. Its description in RNAcentral is "Clostridium oroticum Clostridiales-1 RNA". It matches the Rfam family "Clostridiales-1 RNA". The record is from Rfam by way of RNAcentral. Lineage: Bacteria; Bacillati; Bacillota; Clostridia; Lachnospirales; Lachnospiraceae.